This 253-nucleotide ribosomal RNA is filed under the name uncultured bacterium. RNAcentral's name for it is "partial 16S ribosomal RNA". It matches the Rfam family "Bacterial small subunit ribosomal RNA", at positions 524 to 776 of the family's 1533-position model. The record is from RNAcentral.
UACGGGGGGGGUAAGCGUUGUUCGGAAUUACUGGGCGUAAAGGGCUCGUAGGCGGCCAACUAAGUCAUACGUGAAAUCCCUCAGCUUAACUGGGGAACUGCGUGUGAUACUGGAGGGCUUGGAUUUGGGAGAGGGAUGCGGAAUUCCAGGUGUAGCGGUGAAAUGCGUAGAUAUCUGGAGGAACACCGGUGGCGAAGGCGGCAUCCUGGACCAAUAUUGACGCUGAGGAGCGAAAGCCAGGGGAGCAAACGGG